AAACAAACGUUGAAGAGGUAAAGUAAUUCUAUGUCUGGACUUCUACAGAGAGCCGUGAUUGCUGGAAAGCGGUGUUGUCACAUAGAAUGAAAGUCCCCUCUGAGUGUUGGUCUGAACGUAAACAUUUAUGUGUCUACUAGGAUUGACCGGGUGUUCAAAGCACUCGUUACUAAAAUGAGGUGAGCUAUUUGCUCAUCCCUGAGGUCAAGGAAACUUGAUGAAAAAGGGUGGUACCGUGGAAAGUAAAUCUUUUCACCCCUUCG
RNAcentral lists this non-coding RNA (263 nucleotides) under Alkalihalobacillus pseudalcaliphilus. RNAcentral describes it as "Bacillus pseudalcaliphilus T-box sequence". It matches the Rfam family "T-box leader". Rfam says of the family: Uncharged tRNA acts as the effector for transcription antitermination of genes in the T-box leader family. T-boxes are found upstream of many aminoacyl-tRNA synthetase genes and some amino acid biosynthetic genes usually in Gram-positive bacteria. The anticodon of a specific tRNA base pairs to a specifier sequence within the T-box motif, and the NCCA acceptor tail of the tRNA base pairs to a conserved bulge in the T-box antiterminator hairpin. Lineage: Bacteria; Bacillati; Bacillota; Bacilli; Caryophanales; Bacillaceae. The record is from RNAcentral.